AUUGAACGCUAGCGGGAUGCUUUACACAUGCAAGUCGAACGGCAGCGCGGACUUCGGUCUGGAGGCGAGUGGCGAACGGGUGAGUAAUGUAUCGGAACGUGCCCAGUAGCGGGGGAUAACUACGCGAAAGCGUAGCUAAUACCGCAUACGCCCUACGGGGGAAAGCAGGGGAUCGUAAGACCUUGCACUAUUGGAGCGGCCGAUAUCGGAUUAGCUAGUUGGUGAGGUAACGGCUCACCAAGGCGACGACCCUUAGCUGGUUUGAGAGGACGACCAGCCACACUGGGACUGAGACACGGCCCAGACUCCUACGGGAGGCAGCAGUGGGGAAUUUUGGACAAUGGGGGCAACCCUGAUCCAGCCAUCCCGCGUGUGCGAUGAAGGCCUUCGGGUUGUAAAGCACUUUUGGCAGGAAAGAAACGUCGCGGGCUAAUACCCCGUGGAACUGACGGUACCUGCAGAAUAAGCACCGGCUAACUACGUG
Molecule: ribosomal RNA, 484 nt
Filed under: uncultured bacterium
Lineage: Bacteria
Description: partial 16S ribosomal RNA
Rfam family: Bacterial small subunit ribosomal RNA
Source: RNAcentral